CGGCCAGCCGCGUGGCCCCGCCCCUGGCGUGCCUGCCCUUGGUUCCGCCCGGCAGCCAGGCCAGCAGGCCUGCGAGGCCCCGCUCCAUCGCAAAUAAGGUUUCUUUGAGAUUUCUGUGAGGAGCGGGCCCCUGUGCUGACGCAGGCGGAGCGGUGGAGCUGGAGACUCGAGAGCAGAGGGUGUGGCUCCCGCGCGAGGCUGUCAGGCUGCUGCCCAAGCAGAACCGUCGUGGGAGUUGGCGUGUGAAAAUGAUACACUUGGAGAAGAAGAAAGACAACCUGAAUGGCAGAUGCUUUGAGUUAUUUUAAAGACCCGUCUGGAAUGAAAGGUCCUGGCAAAGACAUCCUCUGUGGGUCGGCGUCAUGCUUGUGUCUUUGCCACUGUCUUCACUCAUCCACAUGGUAGAGAUCAAAGCUUCCAGAAGCUUCAAACAUGGCUAUCCAGAAAUAAGGGGCCUUCGGAAUGUGAAGGACACCACAUCACGUAUUCCAUCAAGAAGGCAAGUAAGACUGGUUCUCGAGUGACAAGGCAUCGCUGAGCAAAGAACUCGACAGUCAGGAGCCUGGCCUGCACACAGCUAUCGCAUAAAAUAGGAAUUAAUAGGCAUCAUAAAAGUCAGCACCAGAGAGGGUUGUGGACCGUAUGAUGUCAGAUCCCAGAGCCAGGAAUGAUCAUAAUUUCACUACUCACCUCCUACUCUGUACCUGGCAUGAAGACCUACUCUGCGGGAGAGGUAGAAAGCAGGAGGCUCCUCCGAUGUUGCUGAUCUCACGGUUGUGCCCAUAUGGGCUUAGGGAGCCCAGCUCCGUGUGUCUGUCUUCACAAGAAAUCAGACAUGACUGGAGAACCAUAAGCCUCCACGGGGCGCACGCGGCCACGCUCUUAGAUUAGUCCUACCUGCCCAGAAGGAAAGUUCUGGAGACAAGAUGAGUGUGACAGGGCAGCUGCAGGCACAGCCAGUGGGGACAGGCUGUCCAGGGCAACUACGGGUGGCCAGAAGGACUGUACCAGGUAGCGGUUCCAUUUCGGGCUUGCAGACAACAGCCCCACGGUCAGGGCAUUUCAUAGCGGCCUCCGGGAGGACUGCUUCCUGACAGGGUUUGGCUUCCAGAUCCCUGGAGAGACUUUUUCAGGGCUCCUGCUCCACAGCAGACUCAGGGCCAGAUGUCCAAUCAAGGCAGAACCUCCAGCCUGGACAUCUGUCCUCCUCAUUCCAGAAAUCUUGUCAGAACCCGCUGGGGGAGCAAGUUGUCUUCACCAUGACCCUCAGAAUGAGAUGGAAGGGGCUUCAGAUAGCCCUUGGCUACGACGUGGAGGCACUUUCAAGUCAAGAGCAAAUUAAAUCUACUGGCCAGAAUUAACUGGGUUCAAACUUAAAUUGAGGUGGUCUGGCAAGAAACAGUAUCCACAAAUAGCACAUAUUCAUUCAGUGAUAAAAAACAAAUUAAGACACAAAAGAGGGCAAAGAAAAGUAAUUGAUAUACUUCCGCAUUCUCUUUUUAUUUUUGGUAAGCUACUGAAGGGUGGCAGGAUAUGCCACCGAAAACGUGCCACUGGGGCAUAAGGACUGUUUUGGAAAACAUCAGGCCCAAGAAGGAUGCUCUGACCUCCCCUUCGUCCUCCUGGAAGCAGGAGAAAAGAUCCCACACGGGCGAUGUCCCCGUCAUCAGGGACGGGCAGUUGAAGCCGAGAGAACUCUAUACAAACAGCCCUUGGUGAUAUGAUCUCGUCUUCCUUUAGCGUCCUUGAAUGUUUAGUCACUUUUCCAAAACUUCCUCCCUUUGUUCAGCCUGGUGCAAAAGCCUUUGGGUUUUGCCUCUCCUUUGGGUCUUCAUCCCGUGUGAAGGCUGCAUGUCACGUAAAACUUAGACUAAAUGACCCUGUGAGCGUCCCUCCUGCCGAUCCGUCUUGUGUGAAUUCUCAAGCCCCAGUGAAAACCUACGAGGGUAGAGGUGAAAUUUUGCCUCCUCUACGACGUUAAAAUGAUUGUUCCCCACUUGUAGUGCUAUCUCUUGAGUAUAUCAAGAUUCACUCUGUAAAAUAAAUUAAUCAACACAAAUACUGAGUACUUACGAGUGACUGCAGUUCUGUAGUUAGCUUUGUGAACUGACUGAACUCUAGAAUCAUAUGCGGCCAGUGGGUGAUCGUCUGCAAAAGGACAUGUGAACACUUCAUGCCAUCCUUGAAUAAUUACUGCUUUCUAGAUGGGUGAUCAUAGCAGUUACGUAACUGGAGGGAUCUUGGAGGCCUUCCAGGAGGAGGUGAGGCUGGAACAAGGCCAUGACAGUGGGGCAGGAACCCAUGAGGCAGACAGCAGAGUCUGCCACACAACGCAAGUAGAAAUGAGCUCCCGUUGUUUCAGAAUUAAGGCAGAGAACUCUGAUGUGGGUAUAUAAAUGGUGUUUUGGUUUCUGAGCAGACAGAUUAUCUAUAGCUGAUGGAAUUUGAGACCUCAUGGAUUAACAUUUUCAUUUAAAUGCCCAUCUUUUAAAUUCUCUUUUGUCCUGAAUUACAAAUCCAAAUCAUGUUAUGUUUGUACACAAGAGAGACUAGUGGUUUUCUGACCUUGAUUCUCACUAACUGUCUCUGAGUUAUGGAGCCUUUGUAGUGCAAGGUAAGAACUAACAAAAAGCAUGGCACAUGGGCCCAAAACCAGCUUACAUGUUACAAAAUCAUUUUAGUCAAACUGCUAUUAUGUGACCAAAUAUCUCCAUUGCCAGAUAUAAACAUACCUAUUAUAUCACAGAGGCUGACCUGAACCUUGAAGUGAUAAAACCUAUGAAUUCGUGAAAAUACAUAAACGCUUUAGCAAAUGCUUUGUAAAAAGGCAAAAGAAAGAAAAUAAGAGAAGACUCACAAUUCUUAAUCAGGUGUUAGAGAGAGGCUAUAAAGAUGUGAUAUCAAGUCCUCUGACCCUUUCCCAGCUAAGAGUUAUCCUGAACCAUUCUUCCAUUUGAUGGGUGUUUCUGUUCCAAAAAGAAGAAAAACAAAUGUCCAGCAGAUAAUCUAUCUGGGAGUUAGUAGAUAUUUUGCCAGAAACUUAUGGUUUUGCCCCAUGAUGAGUUGAAUGCAGGGGCGGGGAGGGGGCUUUUCUUUGGAGGGAGGGCUGCCUAUUUUUAUUUAUUUCUUGUAAGACCACCUCCUUGUACUUCCCAGAAAGAGAAUACAGAACAAGAAACAGACUGGGUUUCAAACCCAUCAACACUGGAGCGUAAAGCAGUUAAGCGCUCGGGAGACUUGGCCAAGGAGUUAAGUCACCACCCACCACAGCCAGUGCUCAGGGCAACUCAAAAUCCCAAUGUGUGCCUGACCGACACAGACAGAGAAUGAGCGAAUCCACAGUGCACUCUGUGGAUGUCACUGAAAAUGGAAGCUGAGCUCCUUUAUUUAAAAAAAAAAAAAGCAACCUUUAAAAGUCAAG
Felis catus (domestic cat) is the source of this 3421-nucleotide long non-coding RNA. RefSeq lists it as uncharacterized. Lineage: Eukaryota; Metazoa; Chordata; Mammalia; Carnivora; Felidae. The record is from RefSeq and is a predicted model, not a curated record. The transcript has 4 exons.